AGGAUUCCUCCUGAGUCAGGCAGAGGAGAGAAAGCAGGGGAAGGAUCUUUUUGCAGAAAUGGGUCUGGAUUCUUCUGAGGCAGAGAAGACUCCGUUGGACACCAGAGUGAGGCCUCUGGGUGACAAAAUGAUGCCACCAAGACCUGCUCCUUCAUCUUUUCAUGGUGGUGGAGGAGAGACAGUGGCUACGAACCCAGAUCAGGUAGGGGGAAGGAGCCUUG
Molecule: long non-coding RNA, 221 nt
Organism: Lacerta agilis (Sand lizard)
Lineage: Eukaryota; Metazoa; Chordata; Lepidosauria; Squamata; Lacertidae
Exons: 3
Source: RefSeq, a predicted model, not a curated record